UCCCUGUUACCAGGGCAGUCUAGCUAGAGAAAUACAACUAACUAUAAGGGUUGCGCUCGUUGAUGGACUUAACCAAACAUCUCACGACACGAGCUGACGACGGCCAUGCAUCACCUGUCACUUGGCUCUAAAAGCACUUUCUCCUUUCGGAGAAAUUCCAAGGAUGUCAAGCCUGGGUAAGGUUCUUCGCUUAUCAUCGAAUUAAACAACACGCUCCACCGCUUGUGCGGGUCCCCGUCAAUUCCUUUAUGUUUUAGUCUUGCGACCGUACUCCACAGGCGGGAUGCUUAACGCGUUAGCUUCGCUACAUCCGGGGUCGAUACCGAAUACAGCUAGCAUCCAUAGUUUACGGCGUGGACUAC
This 362-nucleotide unclassified non-coding RNA is filed under the name uncultured bacterium. Its description in RNAcentral is "contains 16S-23S intergenic spacer region". The record is from RNAcentral.